AUACACCAUGCGACCUGACUUAUGAACUUCACUAGAUUUAAUAACUUUGUUGUUUUUAUAAAUUAUUCUUGAUUAAUUUUAUGAUAACCCUAAAAAAAUUAAGCAUCAAUCCUAAAAAUAGACAUUUAUUUAAAAUUGUGAUAACUCUAUAAAAAAUAAAAAAUAAAUAAACCAUGAAUUUCAUUUCUCAACCAAUCCAAUAUUGAAUAAGAGUGCAAAAUAAAAAAAA
This 229-nucleotide long non-coding RNA is filed under the name Populus trichocarpa (black cottonwood). RNAcentral describes it as "long non-coding RNA (PTRI_LNC004130)". Lineage: Eukaryota; Viridiplantae; Streptophyta; Magnoliopsida; Malpighiales; Salicaceae. The record is from RNAcentral.